UACGUAGGGGUCGAGCGUUUGUCCGGAUUUAUUGGGCGUAAAGAGCGUGUAGGCGGCCAGGUAGGUCUGCUGUGAAAACUCGAGGCUCAACCUCGAGACGUCGGCGGAAACCAUCUGGCUAGAGUCCGGAAGAGGAGAGUGGAAUUCCUGGUGUAGCGGUGAAAUGCGCAGAUAUCAGGAGGAACACCGAUGGCGAAGGCAGGUCUCUGGGCCACUACUGACGCUGAGAAGCGAAAGCGUGGGGAGCGAACAGG
This 254-nucleotide ribosomal RNA is filed under the name uncultured bacterium. RNAcentral's name for it is "partial 16S ribosomal RNA". It matches the Rfam family "Bacterial small subunit ribosomal RNA", at positions 524 to 776 of the family's 1533-position model. The record is from RNAcentral.